UACGGAGGGUGCGAGCGUUAUCCGGAAUUACUGGGUUUAAAGGGUGCGUAGGCGGCUAUGUAAGUCAGGAGUGAAAGUUUGCGGCUCAACCGUAAAAUUGCUUUUGAUACUGCAUAGCUGGAAUUAGGAUGAGGUCAGCGGAAUGUGGCAUGUAGCGGUGAAAUGCAUAGAUAUGCCAUAGAACACCAAUUGCGAAGGCAGCUGACUAGACCUGGAUUGACGCUGAGGCACGAAAGCGUGGGGAGCGAACAGG
This 253-nucleotide ribosomal RNA is filed under the name uncultured bacterium. RNAcentral describes it as "partial 16S ribosomal RNA". It matches the Rfam family "Bacterial small subunit ribosomal RNA", at positions 524 to 776 of the family's 1533-position model. The record is from RNAcentral.